Molecule: transfer RNA, 73 nt
Filed under: Saprospiraceae bacterium
Lineage: Bacteria; Pseudomonadati; Bacteroidota; Saprospiria; Saprospirales; Saprospiraceae
Description: tRNA-Lys
Rfam family: tRNA
About the family: Transfer RNA (tRNA) molecules are approximately 80 nucleotides in length.
Source: RNAcentral
GAUCUCGUAGCUCAGCCGGUAGAGCAUUUGACUUUUAAUCAAAGGGUCUCAGGUUCGAAUCCCGACGAGAUCA